Molecule: unclassified non-coding RNA, 200 nt
Filed under: Rhytismatales sp.
Lineage: Eukaryota; Fungi; Ascomycota; Leotiomycetes; Rhytismatales
Description: partial internal transcribed spacer 2
Source: RNAcentral
UUAAGUUCAGCGGGUAUCCCUACCUGAUUCGAGGUCAACCUUGUAAGUUGGGGGUUGCUGGCAGGCCUCCGCCUGACGCCCGGAAGCGAUGCAUUUUACUACGCUUAGGGGUCACACGGUGCCGCCACUGACUUUGAGACGCGCCCUGUAGGGCCCGCCCAAUACCACGCUAGGCGUGAGGGUUGUAAUGACGCUCGAAC